GCCGGCGUAGCUCAAUGGUAGAGCACCGCAUUCGUAAUGCGGGGGUUGCGGGUUCGAGUCCCAUCGCCGGCU
RNAcentral lists this transfer RNA (72 nucleotides) under Gemmatimonadota bacterium. RNAcentral's name for it is "tRNA-Thr". It matches the Rfam family "tRNA". From Rfam's summary of the family: Transfer RNA (tRNA) molecules are approximately 80 nucleotides in length. Lineage: Bacteria; Pseudomonadati; Gemmatimonadota. The record is from RNAcentral. RNAcentral also lists the same sequence under 1 other name.